Molecule: ribosomal RNA, 253 nt
Filed under: uncultured bacterium
Lineage: Bacteria
Description: partial 16S ribosomal RNA
Rfam family: Bacterial small subunit ribosomal RNA
Source: RNAcentral
UACGGGGGGGGUAAGCGUUGUUCGGAAUUACUGGGCGUAAAGGGCUCGUAGGUGGCCAACUAAGUCAGACGUGAAAUCCCUCGGCUUAACCGGGGAACUGCGUUUGAUACUGGAUGGCUUGAGUUCGGGAGAGGGAUGCGGAAUUCCAGGUGUAGCGGUGAAAUGCGUAGAUAUCUGGAGGAACACCGGUGGCGAAGGCGGCAUCCUGGACCGACACUGACACUGAGGAGCGAAAGCCAGGGGAGCAAACGGG